Long non-coding RNA from Cydia fagiglandana, 565 nucleotides. RefSeq lists it as uncharacterized. Lineage: Eukaryota; Metazoa; Arthropoda; Insecta; Lepidoptera; Tortricidae. The record is from RefSeq and is a predicted model, not a curated record. The transcript has 2 exons.
GAGCAGCAACAUCGAUUCUGACAUUUGCUUGAGUACUCAUAAUGCAGUCGGUAGUCUGAAUUCGAACGGUACCUUAAUGCAGCUGCGGUUGCUAUCACUAUAGUCACACUCGAUUUUGGAUUAGAUAAGGUUAGCGUAUCCUAAACUAUGACCAAUUUAGUAAUCACACUAAAUUGACAAAUGUAAUUAAAAAAGCAAUAAUUCGGUCUGAAGUAUUUUAACCAAUUAACUCGCCACGAUAUCAGACAGUUUUCGUAUAGACAAGUGUUAACACUGAUGAAGACAUCCUUAUGAAAGAAAAGAUGCCACGACUUAUAUGGAAGCAACUCCUUAUUGUAUCAUUUCUAUUUAUCAUCGGUGAUUGCGCGCCACCGUCUCAAAAAUUAACUGAGAUCAAGAAAAAACCGCUUUCCUUCCUUGAUUUACCUUCGGUAAUAGUAGACCCGUACGAGCAACUGAAGUCACGUAGCGCAAAUCAUGUUUUUAGGAUAUUAUUUGACCCUGAAUCACUACAACAAAGUACCGAAAAAUACCGAUUACCACGAAAGUUAAAGAACAAUUUAAA